UAGUCCUAGCUGUAAACGAUGAUCACUAGACGUUAGUCCCGUUCAGGGAUUAGUGUCGUAGCUAACGCGUUAAGUGAUCCGCCUGGGGAGUACGGUCGCAAGAUUAAAACUCAAAUGAAUUGACGGGGACCCGCACAAGCGGUGGAGCAUGUGGUUUAAUUCGAUGCUACGCGAAGAACCUUACCACUCCUUGACAUCUUGGUCGCGGCUCUUGUAAUGGAGAGCUUUCAGUUCGGCUGGACCAAUGACAGGUGUUGCAUGGCUGUCGUCAGCUCGUGUCGUGAGAUGUUGGGUUAAGUCCCGCAACGAGCGCAACCCUCAUCCUUAGUUGCCAGCACGUUAUGGUGGGAACUCUAGGGAACUGCCGUGACAAGCGGGAGGAAGGGUGGGGGAGUGACGGUCAAGGUCAUCAUGGCCCUUACGGGAGGUGGGGCUACACACGUGCUACAAUGGGCAUUUAC
RNAcentral lists this ribosomal RNA (461 nucleotides) under uncultured bacterium. Its description in RNAcentral is "bacterial SSU rRNA". It matches the Rfam family "Bacterial small subunit ribosomal RNA", at positions 791 to 1240 of the family's 1533-position model. The record is from RNAcentral.